This 683-nucleotide long non-coding RNA is filed under the name Gallus gallus (chicken). RNAcentral describes it as "lncRNA (ENSGALG00000048898.2)". The record is from RNAcentral. Lineage: Eukaryota; Metazoa; Chordata; Aves; Galliformes; Phasianidae.
UCCUGAAGUGGAAGGAGCUCAAGCACCAGGCCCGGGAGGAGAACACAGUGGGGAUCAGGAUGUGUUUGCUGCAGCAGGACAGGAGGAGAGUGGAAGGCUACCUGUGGCAGAGCCUGCCAUACCUGAAGGAUUCUCAGGCCUCCUUGCGAUGCGAGGCUGUCACAUUCCUUGGGCUGGCUGUGCAGCACUCCAGGGAACAAAGUGAGGAAAUGCUGAAUGAAAUCUGCAAUGCCCUUCAGCCUUUGGAAGAUGACGCCCAUCCGGCAGUCCGUUCCCUGGCAGCUGGGACAAUCCAGAUGCUGAGACAUGAAAGGCAGCAGGCGGCAUCAGCACGGAGCAGGCUCGCAGCGCUUUGCUGCUGGCCCUGCAUCGCCAUCUGAAAUGUGUCAAGUGAGGUGCGAGAAGGUUCCAUCCGCCUCUUCAAAGAAGUGAUGGAUGCUGUGGUGUGGCGUGAGAAGGCAAACAUGAAGAAGGCUGUGCGCAGGGGCCUGCUCCCUCUGCUCUUUCAGUUGAGCAGCGACAAAGAAUGAUUCUGCAAAGCUUCUUUGCUGACAUUUAGCUCUUAAAAUAACGACAUUAUUUUUAGUAUCCUACGUUAUUUUAUACAUUUUAUGUUUUGUUAGUUUUGUAUUAAAUUAUAUUUUUACAUUUAAAUAUUUUUGUAAUAAAAUAUAUUUUUAUAU